This 71-nucleotide transfer RNA is filed under the name Camelus dromedarius (Arabian camel). It matches the Rfam family "tRNA". From Rfam's summary of the family: Transfer RNA (tRNA) molecules are approximately 80 nucleotides in length. Lineage: Eukaryota; Metazoa; Chordata; Mammalia; Artiodactyla; Camelidae. The record is from Rfam by way of RNAcentral. RNAcentral also lists the same sequence under 1 other name.
GGGAAUAGCUCAAAUGGUAGAGUGCAUGCUUAGCAUGCAUGAGGUCCUAGGUUCAAUUCCCAGUAUUUCUC